CGGAGUUCAGUCUUCCCAGGCCCACCACUUUCAUCGAGUGAGCAUUCGUCUUCUGGUUACGGGGCCAUAGCUCAGCUGGGAGAGCGCGUGCUUUGCAAGCAUGAGGUCGUCGGUUCGAUCCCGUCUGGCUCCACCAGAUGGUUUGAUCACCGAGAUCUUGUACCGUCGUCCGCGAAACAUCACUUCGCAUCCUGCUAGUCUGGAUAGACAGCAAGAUGCGUGUUUUCUGACAUCGUAAAGAGGAGAUCGAUCCGAGUUGGGUCGUGCAGCGGAUUGUUGCGCGAAUCCUUCAUUAUCUCCGGAUCAUUUUCGGCGCUCGCUUUCAGCCGUGAGGUUGAAUGCGAGUUGUAAAAUGAUCCUUUUAGCGAAGCUUGACCGCCUCGCUAUCGGAACGAUCUUACGAAGCAAGCUGGUCUUUCUAGUCAAUGUCCGGCUGUGCGUAGCGUUCAUCGAGGGCGCGUGCCGUAAGGCAAUCGUACAGACAACAUUCUGCCGAGUGUGUGGACAUUGAUAAUGAGAGCAAUCAAGUGCCUUAAGGGUGUUCGGUGGAUGCCUUGGCGCUGAGAGGCGAUGAAGGACGUGCUACGCUGCGAUAAGCCGUGGGGAGCUGCGAAGAAGCUUUGAUCCGCGGAUUUCCGUG
This 640-nucleotide unclassified non-coding RNA is filed under the name Bradyrhizobium sp. RNAcentral describes it as "partial 16S-23S ribosomal RNA intergenic spacer". The stretch from base 522 to 640 matches the Rfam family "Bacterial large subunit ribosomal RNA", at positions 1 to 118 of the family's 2925-position model. Lineage: Bacteria; Pseudomonadati; Pseudomonadota; Alphaproteobacteria; Hyphomicrobiales; Nitrobacteraceae. The record is from RNAcentral.